CCCCACUGCUAUCGGGAUGGGACUAAGACAUGCUAGUCGAGCGUCUCCAAGCUAUGGAAGAGACGCGGCACACAGCUCAGUAACACGUGGCUAACCUGCCCUUGGGACAAGGACAACUCCGGGAAACUGGGGCUAAUCCCUGAUAGGUGAGAACUCCUGGAAUGGAUUCUCGCUGAAAGGACGUUUAGACCAUGCUUCUAGGCGUCGCCCAAGGAGGGGGCCGCGACCGAUCAGGUUGUUGGUGAGGUAACGGCUCACCAAGCCUUUAACCGGUACGGGCCGUGAGAGCGGAAGCCCGGAGAUGGGCACUGAGACAAGGGCCCAGGCCCUACGGGGCGCAGCAGUCGCGAAAACUCCGCAAUACACGAAAGUGUGACGGGGCUAUCCCGAGUGCCAUCCGCUGAGGAUGGCUUUUCCCCAGUGUAUAAAGCUGGGGGAAUAAGGAGAGGGCAAGCCUGGUGUCAGCCGCCGCGGUAAUACCAGCUCUCCGAGUGGUGGGGAUGUUUAUUGGGCCUAAAGCAUUCGUAGCCUGCUUGGCAAGUCCUCCGUUAAAUCCAACGAUUCAAUCGUUGGGCUGCGGGAGAUACUGUUGGGCUAGGAGGCGGGAGAAGCCGACGGUAUUCUCGGGGUAGGGGUGAAAUCCUGUAAUCCCGGGAGGACCACCAGUGGCGAAGGCGGUCGGCUAGAACGCGCUCGACGGUGAGGGACGAAAGCUGGGGGAGCGAACCGGAUUAGAAACCCGGGUAGUCCCAGCUGUAAACGAUGCGGGCUAGGUGUUGGGGUGGCCACGAGCCACUUCAGUGCCGCAUGGAAGCAAUUAAGCCCGCCGCCUGGGGAGUACGGCCGCAAGGCUGAAACUUAAAGGAAUUGGCGGGGGAGCACCACAAGGCGUGAAGCUUGCGGUUU
This 906-nucleotide ribosomal RNA is filed under the name uncultured archaeon. RNAcentral's name for it is "bacterial SSU rRNA". It matches the Rfam family "Archaeal small subunit ribosomal RNA", at positions 21 to 903 of the family's 1478-position model. The record is from RNAcentral.